Molecule: ribosomal RNA, 681 nt
Filed under: uncultured bacterium
Lineage: Bacteria
Description: bacterial SSU rRNA
Rfam family: Bacterial small subunit ribosomal RNA
Source: RNAcentral
AGGGUUUGAUCAUGGCUCAGAUUGAACGCUGGCGGUAUGCUUAACACAUGCAAGUCGAACGGAAACGAUACUAGCUUGCUAGUAGGCGUCGAGUGGCGGACGGGUGAGUAACGCGUAGGAAUCUGCCUGAUAGUGGGGGAUAGCCCGAAGAAAUUCGGAUUAAUACCGCAUAAUCUAUUCGUAGUAAAGUGGGGGACUUUCGAGCCUCACGCUAUCAGAUGAGCCUGCGUAAGAUUAGCUAGUUGGUAGGGUAAAAGCCUACCAAGGCUACGAUCUUUAGCUGGUCUGAGAGGAUGAUCAGCCACAUCGGGACUGAGACACGGCCCGAACUCCUACGGGAGGCAGCAGUGGGGAAUAUUGGACAAUGGGGGCAACCCUGAUCCAGCAAUACCGCGUGUGUGAAGAAGGCCUGAGGGUUGUAAAGCACUUUCAAUUGUGAAGAAAAGUUAACGGUUAAUAACCGUUAGCCUUGACGUUAACUUUAGAAGAAGCACCGGCUAACUCCGUGCCAGCAGCCGCGGUAAUACGGAGGGUGCAAGCGUUAAUCGGAAUUACUGGGCGUAAAGCGUGCGUAGGCGGUUUAUUAAGUCAGAUGUGAAAGCCCCGGGCUUAACCUGGGAACUGCAUUUGAAACUGGUCAACUAGAGUAUGGUAGAGGAAAGUGGAAUUUCUGGUGUAGCG